RNAcentral lists this unclassified non-coding RNA (18 nucleotides) under Chlamydomonas reinhardtii. RNAcentral describes it as "small RNA Cre_0863". Lineage: Eukaryota; Viridiplantae; Chlorophyta; Chlorophyceae; Chlamydomonadales; Chlamydomonadaceae. The record is from RNAcentral.
CAAUCCUCGGUGGGAGCA